UUGGCGGACGGGUGGAGUAACGCGUGGGGAACCUGCCCUGUACAGGGGGAUAACACUUAGAAAUAGGUGCUAAUACCGCAUAAGCGCACAGUAUCGCAUGAUACAGUGUGAAAAACUCCGGUGGUACAGGAUGGACCCGCGUCUGAUUAGCUGGUUGGCGGGGUAACGGCCCACCAAGGCGACGAUCAGUAGCCGGCCUGAGAGGGCGGACGGCCACACUGGGACUGAGACACGGCCCAGACUCCUACGGGAGGCAGCAG
This 260-nucleotide ribosomal RNA is filed under the name uncultured bacterium. Its description in RNAcentral is "partial 16S ribosomal RNA". It matches the Rfam family "Bacterial small subunit ribosomal RNA", at positions 95 to 354 of the family's 1533-position model. The record is from RNAcentral.